CUUACGGGAGGCAGCAGUGGGGAAUAUUGCACAAUGGGGGAAACCUUGAUGCAGCCAUGCCGCGUGUGUGAAGAAGGUCUUCGGGUUGUAAAGCACUUUCAGUUGUGAGGAAAAGUUAGUAGUUAAUACGUGCUAGUCGUGACGUUAACAACAGAAGAAGCACCGGUUAAUUCCGUGCCGGCAGCCGCGGUAUUACGGAGGGUGCGAGCGUUAUUGGGAAUUACUGGGCGUAAAGCGCACGCGGGCGGUUUGUUAAGCUGGAUGUGAAAGCCCCGGGUUCACCCUGGGAUGGUCAUUUAGAACUGCCAGAUUGGAGUCUGGGGGAGGGGAGUGAAAUUCCAGGGGUAGCGGUAAAAGGGGUAGAAUUGAGGAGGACCCCCAGUGGGGAGGGGGCCUCCCUGGCCAACGACGGACGUUCAUGUGGGAAGGUGUGGGUGCAGACCAGGAUUGGUUCCCUUGUUGUUCCACACGGUAAACGCGUUUUACUAGCGUCGGGGGCCUUUAAGACGUGGGUGGCGAAGCUAACGCGAUAAGUAGACCGCCUGGGGAGUACGGCCGCAAGGUUAAAACUCAAAUGAAUUGACGGA
This 587-nucleotide ribosomal RNA is filed under the name uncultured bacterium. RNAcentral describes it as "bacterial SSU rRNA". It matches the Rfam family "Bacterial small subunit ribosomal RNA", at positions 338 to 917 of the family's 1533-position model. The record is from RNAcentral.